UGCAGUCGUACGCUUCUUUUUCCACCGGAGCUUGCUCCACCGGAAAAAGAAGAGUGGCGAACGGGUGAGUAACACGUGGGUAACCUGCCCAUCAGAAGGGGAUAACACUUGGAAACAGGUGCUAAUACCGUAUAACAAUCGAAACCGCAUGGUUUUGAUUUGAAAGGCGCUUUCGGGUGUCGCUGAUGGAUGGACCCGCGGUGCAUUAGCUAGUUGGUGAGGUAACGGCUCACCAAGGCCACGAUGCAUAGCCGACCUGAGAGGGUGAUCGGCCACAUUGGGACUGAGACACGGCCCAAACUCCUACGGGAGGCAGCAGUAGGGAAUCUUCGGCAAUGGACGAAAGUCUGACCGAGCAACGCCGCGUGAGUGAAGAAGGUUUUCGGAUCGUAAAACUCUGUUGUUAGAGAAGAACAAGGAUGAGAGUAACUGUUCAUCCCUUGACGGUAUCUAACCAGAAAGCCACGGCUAACUACGUGCCAGCAGCCGCGGUAAUACGUAGGUGGCAAGCGUUGUCCGGAUUUAUUGGGCGUAAAGCGAGCGC
RNAcentral lists this ribosomal RNA (544 nucleotides) under Enterococcus durans. Its description in RNAcentral is "bacterial SSU rRNA". It matches the Rfam family "Bacterial small subunit ribosomal RNA", at positions 56 to 572 of the family's 1533-position model. Lineage: Bacteria; Bacillati; Bacillota; Bacilli; Lactobacillales; Enterococcaceae. The record is from RNAcentral.